GAUGAACGCUGGCGGCGUGCCUAAUACAUGCAAGUCGAGCGAACAGACGAGGAGCUUGCUCCUCUGACGUUAGCGGCGGACGGGUGAGUAACACGUGGAUAACCUACCUAUAAGACUUGGAUAACUUCGGGAAACCGGAGCUAAUACCGGAUAAUAUAUUGAACCGCAUGGUUCAAUAGUGAAAGACGGUUUUGCUGUCACUUAUAGAUGGAUCCGCGCCGCAUUAGCUAGUUGGUAAGGUAACGGCUUACCAAGGCAACGAUGCGUAGCCGACCUGAGAGGGUGAUCGGCCACACUGGAACUGAGACACGGUCAAGACUCCUACGGGAGGCAGCAGUAGGGAAGCUUCCGCAAUGGGCGAAAGCCUGAAGGAGCAACGCCGCGUGAGUGAUGAAGGUCUUAGGAUCGUAAAACUCUGUUAUUAGGGAAGAACAAAUGUGUAAGUAACUAUGCACGUCUUGACGGUACCUAAUCAGAAAGCCACGGCUAACUACGUG
RNAcentral lists this ribosomal RNA (497 nucleotides) under uncultured bacterium. RNAcentral describes it as "partial 16S ribosomal RNA". It matches the Rfam family "Bacterial small subunit ribosomal RNA", at positions 28 to 507 of the family's 1533-position model. The record is from RNAcentral.